RNAcentral lists this long non-coding RNA (3436 nucleotides) under Cricetulus griseus (Chinese hamster). RNAcentral's name for it is "lncRNA (ENSCGRG00015036670.1)". The record is from RNAcentral. Lineage: Eukaryota; Metazoa; Chordata; Mammalia; Rodentia; Cricetidae.
CCGCUCAUUACUCAAGGACAUGGCUCAGGAACCCUCCCUGCCAGGCUCCAGCAGGCUAGCCUCAAGUUCACAAUGAAGCCAAGGAUGACCUGGAACUCAGGAUUUUCCAGCUUUGACCUCCUGAGUGCUAAAAUUAAAGAUCUGCAUCAUCACUCCCAGCAGAGAAAGCAUCUUUAAAGGUACAAAUGUGUAUGUGAGCGCAGUAGUGUGCUGAGGUUAGAGGUGCUGAAUCUUCCAGAUCUGGAGUUACAGACAACUGCAAGCCAUCUGAAGUAAGUGCUAGGAACCAAAUUUGGGUUCUCUGGAGAUUUGCAAGUGUUUUUAACUACUAAGACAUCUUUCUAGCCAUGAAAAAAAAAAAAAAACACCUUUUGGGGGGUGGGAUUUAUUUUAUGUUCUAUUGCUAUGAAGAGAAACCAUGACCCAUGACCAUGGCAAUUCUUACAAAGGAAACCCUUUAAGCAACAGGAAAAAGAGACCACUGGGCCUGGCUUGAGCAUUUGAAACCCCAAAGCCCACUCCCAGUGACACACUUCCUCCAACAAGGCCACACCUAGCCCAACAAGGACAUACCUCCUAAUAGUGCUACUCCCUGGUGGCCAAGCAUUCAAAUCUGUGAACCUGUGGGGGCCAUUCUUUGUUGUUUUUGGUUUUUCGAGACAGGGUUUCUCUGUGUAUUCGAGGCCAGCCUGGUCCACAGAGAAUUCCAGGACAGCCUCUCCAAAGCUACAGAGAAACCCUGUUCUGAAAAACCAAAAAAAGAAAGAAGGAAAGAAAUGAUUUCAGGAUGGGCAGUGGUGGCAAAUGCCCUUAAUCCCAGUUCUCAGGAGGCAGAGGCUAGCCUUGGUCUAAAGGGUGAGUUCCAAGACAGUAAAGGCUCCACAGAGAAACCCUUCCUCGAAAAACAAACAACAAAAAGAAAUUAUUUCACUGGUGCCUCAUUGACCUAGAGAAAGUUCUGAGAGGUACAUAUGAAGGUCACAGCCCAAGCAAGCUACAGGCUCCCUGCAAAAGGAAGCCCUAAUUACAGGGCAGCAGAGCCAGUCUGGUCCCCACUCUUAGCAGCACAUUCCUCCCAGAGGCCUACUUACCACAGUCCCUUUUCACCACCUCGUGUCUGGCUUUCUACACAAAAUUACAAGGCACACAAAAAGGUCAGAGGCAGGGUUUGAGGAGACAGGUGCACAUUCCACCCCUUAUCAGACUUCAUCUCAGGCCUGUAGAUUCUUGAAAAUUCCAGGGUACAGUCAGGCCAGGUGAGUGUUACCUUGAAAUCUGUUUUGAUCUUCCAGCCUUCCCAGAAAAAGUCUCUCUGGCAGAACUGUCUAUGGGUCCAAAUGAGGCUCCAGGGUGGGAAGUGGCCCCUUCGGUGUAGUGUGACUACACUGAAGAUUUUAUUUAUUCAGUGUAGUGUAACUACACUGAAGAUUUUAUUUAUUCAGUGUAGUGUGACUACACUGAAGAUUUUAUUUAUUCAGUGUAGUGUAACUACACUGAAGGCCUGACUUCCCGCGUGGGUUUGUGGCGGGUCCUCCUAGAAUCACAGAGCCACAGAAUGAAUUCAUCCAGGCAGGGAAAGUGACCAGCACAAUCGAGGCUCCAGAAACACACAGCUGCACAAGUGAUUAGGGCACUUGGUCAGCGUCUGCCUGCUGCGGGCAGAGGCAUUUGCUGCCAAGACUAGGGUUGUGAGUUUGAUCCCUGGGCCUCGAAUGGUGGAAAGAGAGAACUGGCUUUCGUGGUGUCCUCCAAAGCACACUUCCCCAUGCCACACACACCCCACCUCCCCACAUGCCAUAAAUAAAUAAACGCAAGAAAUUUAAGAAUGUGGUCUAUAAUUGAGGAGAAAAGAGCAAUCAGUCCCUUUAUUAGGAUCUGGCAGACAUGUUCAACCUUAGGCCUGUGGGUCCCACUCAAAAAUCUUGCUUGAGAUUUUUUUUAUUUUUUAUUUUGAGAAACAGAGUUUCUCUGUGUAGCCUUGGCUGUCCUGGAACUCACUCUGUCUAACAGACUGGCCUUGAACUCACAGAGAUCCGCCUUCCUCUGCCUCCUGAGUGCUGGGAUUAAAACUGUGAGCCACACCAUAUCCUGCUAAUCCCUCCAAAAUGAAAUAAAGUGUGUGUGCAUGCACACAGAGUUGGAGGAGGCUUUGAGGACAAGGCCAUCACAGCAGUGACAACUUCUUUCAAGCCUGCAGGCUUUGCAAUGAGGCCAUGUCUCUCCUGGGCACAAGAAUCUUCCUACAGAGCUGCUAACGGCCAGAUGGGGCACUCUGACUGCACCCUUCAUGCCAGUCUCUCUACGUGAAAAGAUGAACACAGCUCAGGCAAUCCAUCAAACAGCAUCAAAAUGCCUUCUGCCUGCAGUGACCACAAAUGACAGCGUGUUUCAGAGCAGGAGGGGGAAGGGAGGUGACACCAAGACUCAUGGAACUCCAUUGCUCUUUAGUCUCUCAUCUUGGUCCCACAUGACCAAAUCAUCACACAAAUAUAAUUUUUAGGGCUGGAGGAAGGCUCUUGCAGAUGACCCAACACACACACACGGUGGCUCACAACUGCCUCUAACUCCAGCUCCAAGGAUCUGAUAGCUUCUUGUGAUCCUUGAGAGCUCCUACACACAAACAGUGCAAACAAGUACACUCAGGUACACACAAGCCCAUAUAAAUAAAUUGUUAGCCCCCAUAAGUGGCAAUUACGAUUCUAAUUUUCUUUUCUGUUCUCUGUGCUGGAGACUGAGCCCAAGGCCUCUCACAUACCAGGCAUCAGCUCUAGCCCUGAAUCACACAACCAGAUCAGAAAUUGCAAUUGUGUUGUGUUGUGUACUAGUCUUUCCUUUAGAUCACCAACCAGCUCCCAAACCAGGGCAUGGAGCUUAGAUUCUUUCAAAUUAACCUGUUACUCUUUAUCUACCUUUUGCCCGGGGGUGGUGGUGGUGGUGUUCACUCUUUUUGUUUCUUCUGUAUAUCUUUUUUUUGUUUGUUUUGUUUUUUUUGAGACAGGGUUUCCCUGUGGCUUUGGAGGCUGUCCUGGAACUAGCUCUUGUAAACCUGGCUAGUCUCGAACUCACAGAGAUCCGCCUGCCUCUGCCUCCGGAGUGCUGGGAUUAAAGGCAUGUGCCACCAACACCGGGCCACAUCUUUACAUUGUUAAUAAAGGCAGCAGAAACACAUGGAACACUCCUUUCUUUACACACAAUAAAGUAACAUUCCACAACAUAAACAAAUGUAACGGAUUUGCCUAGUUAAAAUAAUAUUCUACAACUGUGUUGUCUGCCUGUUUAUUGAGACAUGUGUCUCUGUGCAGCCUCAGUUGGCCUGGAACACACAAUGUAGGUCAUGCUGGUCUGGAACCUGUAGCACUUUUCCCGCCUCUGCCUGCUGAGUGUGGAAUUAGGUCACCACAUGUAGUAAGACCUCCAAAUGUCUUAAUACUUGAAC